GACCCCCCAGUAUAGAUUUACCAAUAUACCACUGUAACUAGACUCUCUUCUGAGGUUGUCAAAGACCCAACAGAGCAUUAACUUUAAGUCCCAGAUUGAGGGCUGAGGACAACAGGGUCUGCCCUCGGUGGUCACAAAUUCCAGCUGUAGACUGAGGAAGAUUGACAAUGGAUUGGAAAAUGAGGGACUGCGGGCACAUGGGAGAGACUUGUGAGGCUGUAGAAUGUUGGUUAUUCACACUUGGGGAAAGUACCACUUUUUUUUUUAACUGAAACUGAAAUUUUAAUUAACUUAUUUUUUAUUCACUACUUAAAAAAAAAAGAUAAUUGACCUACAACCUGAAGUCAGGGGACUUCCUUAACUGGCUCAGAUGCUGCAAAGAAAUAGACAUCUCCCGUAAUAAGAAGAGAUACAUCCUCUGAGGGGAGGCAGUGGGAGGGAGCAUCUCCAUGGGGAGAGGAAGGGACUUCCCAGGCCUGCCACGGCCCCAGAAGUCUCCCUGUCCUUGUCCCUUUGUGCUUCUGAGCAACCACAGCUGAAGUCAUCAGCACCACAGAGACUUUAAACAAUUAAGCAGAACUUCUGUAAAGGCAUAGAGUUAAGAGAGGGGAAAGCAAAGAACUGAGCAGCAGGUAACCCGAUAAUCUAAUUCACCAGACAGACUCAGCUGAUUCAUCUUGUGCCCACAACCCAUGGCAGGGAUCUCUGCUCCCUGGCUCCUGACCUGCUGCCUCCGUCCCAAAGAAAUGUCCAAGUCUUGAGGGAAACAUGGAAGUUCCCACCCCUGCCUGCACAAGCUCUCUGUUAUGAGUUAAGGAGCCUGUCUCACAAGUUCCUCCAAUCAUGUCCUGGCCGCUUUCUCCAGUCUGGAUGAGGUAGGAAGCUUUACAGCAGUAAUCUGACAUGAGAGAGGAGGAAAUGGUGCUGUCCCCCCACCCAAUGUGAGGACGCAUCAGUGGAGCCCUGGGGUUGCUCUUCUGAAACAGCAGGAAGGUUUCUCCUUGGAAGUUCAAUGCCAACAUGUCACCAGGGGUCUCCAGCCAGGCUAGAUCCAGCACCAGGGAGUAUAGCAGAGUGAACAUUGGUGGCUUGACAUGGUUCCUAGAUGGACAACCGGAAGUUUAGAAUCUGAGGGAUUCCUGCAGAAAAUAAUGGUGUAUACAGCAGCCAGGAUGUACCUGAGGCACUGUGCACCAUGUCCUUAGGACCCCUCAAGUAAAUUGUCCAACAUUCCACACUGGAGGCAGGGCACAUCCAUGGCCCGGAUCCGUCCCCCUCUCCUACUGUGCCAGAAUAUUUCUCGUGCCAUAGGCAAGGUGAUUGAAACACAGAGCUGCAUACAAAGUG
Molecule: long non-coding RNA, 1347 nt
Filed under: Bos indicus x Bos taurus (hybrid cattle)
Lineage: Eukaryota; Metazoa; Chordata; Mammalia; Artiodactyla; Bovidae
Description: lncRNA (ENSBIXG00000012946.1)
Source: RNAcentral